RNAcentral lists this ribosomal RNA (440 nucleotides) under uncultured bacterium. Its description in RNAcentral is "partial 16S ribosomal RNA". It matches the Rfam family "Bacterial small subunit ribosomal RNA", at positions 339 to 795 of the family's 1533-position model. The record is from RNAcentral.
CUACGGGCGGCAGCAGUGGGGAAUAUUGCACAAUGGAGGAAACUCUGAUGCAGCAACGCCGCGUGGAGGAUGACACUUUUCGGAGCGUAAACUCCUUUUAUAUAGGAAGAAGAUGACGGUACUAUAUGAAUAAGCGCCGGCUAACUGCCGUGCCAGCAGCCGCGGUAAUACGGAGGGCGCAAGCGUUACUCGGAAUCACUGGGCGUAAAGAGCGUGUAGGCGGAUUAAAAAGUCAGAAGUGAAAUCCUAUAGCUGAACUAUAGAACUGCUUCUGAAACUCUUAAUCUAGAAUAUGGGAGAGGUAGAUGGAAUUUCUGGUGUAGGGGUAAAAUCCGUAGAGAUCAGAAGGAAUACCGAUUGCGAAGGCGAUCUACUAGAACAUUAUUGACGCUGAGACGCGAAAGCGUGGGGAGCAAACAGGAUUAGAUACCCUUGUAGUC